This 490-nucleotide ribosomal RNA is filed under the name Candida dubliniensis. RNAcentral's name for it is "SSU rRNA". It matches the Rfam family "Eukaryotic small subunit ribosomal RNA", at positions 547 to 1056 of the family's 1831-position model. The record is from RNAcentral. Lineage: Eukaryota; Fungi; Ascomycota; Pichiomycetes; Serinales; Debaryomycetaceae.
AUUGGAGGGCAAGUCUGGUGCCAGCAGCCGCGGUAAUUCCAGCUCCAAAAGCGUAUAUUAAAGUUGUUGCAGUUAAAAAGCUCGUAGUUGAACCUUGGGCUUGGCUGGCCGGUCCAUCUUUUUGAUGCGUACUGGACCCAGCCGAGCCUUUCCUUCUGGCUAGCCAUUUAUGGCGAACCAGGACUUUUACUUUGAAAAAAUUAGAGUGUUCAAAGCAGGCCUUUGCUCGAAUAUAUUAGCAUGGAAUAAUAGAAUAGGACGUUAUGGUUCUAUUUUGUUGGUUUCUAGGACCAUCGUAAUGAUUAAUAGGGACGGUCGGGGGUAUCAGUAUUCAGUUGUCAGAGGUGAAAUUCUUGGAUUUACUGAAGACUAACUACUGCGAAAGCAUUUACCAAGGACGUUUUCAUUAAUCAAGAACGAAAGUUAGGGGAUCGAAGAUGAUCAGAUACCGUCGUAGUCUUAACCAUAAACUAUGCCGACUAGGGAUCGG